RNAcentral lists this unclassified non-coding RNA (83 nucleotides) under Pseudomonas migulae. The record is from RNAcentral. Lineage: Bacteria; Pseudomonadati; Pseudomonadota; Gammaproteobacteria; Pseudomonadales; Pseudomonadaceae.
UGUAGGAGCCGGCUUGCUGGCGAUGGUGUGUCAGUUGACGUCUAUGUAGCUGACCCACCAUCGCCAGCAAGCCGGCUCCUACA